RNAcentral lists this ribosomal RNA (192 nucleotides) under uncultured Chitinophaga sp. RNAcentral describes it as "partial 16S ribosomal RNA". It matches the Rfam family "Bacterial small subunit ribosomal RNA", at positions 335 to 524 of the family's 1533-position model. Lineage: Bacteria; Pseudomonadati; Bacteroidota; Chitinophagia; Chitinophagales; Chitinophagaceae. The record is from RNAcentral.
ACUCCUACGGGAGGCAGCAGUAAGGAAUAUUGGUCAAUGGACGCAAGUCUGAACCAGCCAUGCCGCGUGGAGGAUGAAGGCCCUCUGGGUUGUAAACUUCUUUUAUCUGGGAAGAAACCGGACCCUUCUAGGGCCGUUGACGGUACCAGAUGAAUAAGCACCGGCUAACUCCGUGCCAGCAGCCGCGGUAAU